This 253-nucleotide ribosomal RNA is filed under the name uncultured bacterium. RNAcentral describes it as "partial 16S ribosomal RNA". It matches the Rfam family "Bacterial small subunit ribosomal RNA", at positions 524 to 776 of the family's 1533-position model. The record is from RNAcentral.
UACGGAGGAUGCGAGCGUUAUCCGGAUUUAUUGGGUUUAAAGGGUGCGUAGGCGGCUUUGCAAGUCAGAGGUGAAAUCCAUGGGCUUAACCCAUGAACUGCUUUUGAAACUGCAGAGCUUGAGUGGAGUAGAGGUAGGCGGAAUUCCCGGUGUAGCGGUGAAAUGCGUAGAGAUCGGGAGGAACACCAGUGGCGAAGGCGGCCUGCUGGGCUCUAACUGACGCUGAGGCACGAAAGCGUGGGUAGCAAACAGG